This 258-nucleotide unclassified non-coding RNA is filed under the name Hevea brasiliensis (rubber tree). Lineage: Eukaryota; Viridiplantae; Streptophyta; Magnoliopsida; Malpighiales; Euphorbiaceae. The record is from RNAcentral.
GAUGAGAAGGCUUUCUUUCCCCUUGUUAACAGAAGAAUCUUGCAUUGGAACCUGCAGUUUGUAGAGGUGACAACCAGAAGCCAUGUAGACCCAACAAGAAGAGGCAUCCUCAUUAACAUGGAGAGCAAGUCGAGUGGGCUGGAGAUUUCCAGGAGAAGGAUUCUCAAUCAGAGUUGAAGAGACAACGGCCUUACUCAGGCUUCUUGCCUCCAGCAUAGCAAAGUCUCUCUCCUUUGGACUUUCUUCUUUCUUGGGUGG